GUCGAAGAGGUCGAGCGCCGAUCGGUUGGAUGGGAGCGAGUAGCCGGUGCCGUAGCCGCCGAUGGAGAGGGAGACGGGGACGCCCUUGAACUGGCAGUGCUUGAUGUCGGCGCCGACGGAGGACAGGUCGUGGCCGGAGAGGUCGAGGUGGUACUUGCCGUUGGCGCCAAAGACGUCGAGGAAGGACAUGGUGACCAUGGUGUACAUGCCGGAGUCGCAGGCCUCACGCAGGGACCCCUCGGCCUUAUUCCGUCCCCAGAACACCGUCACCUGGCCGGUCUUCCCCCCCGCCGCCAAGGCCGGCGGGGUUAGGAAUAAGGCAGCGACG
RNAcentral lists this long non-coding RNA (328 nucleotides) under Hordeum vulgare. Its description in RNAcentral is "long non-coding RNA (HVUL_LNC003651)". The record is from RNAcentral. Lineage: Eukaryota; Viridiplantae; Streptophyta; Magnoliopsida; Poales; Poaceae.